This 779-nucleotide ribosomal RNA is filed under the name uncultured Neocallimastigales. Its description in RNAcentral is "partial large subunit ribosomal RNA". It matches the Rfam family "Eukaryotic large subunit ribosomal RNA", at positions 23 to 640 of the family's 3401-position model. Lineage: Eukaryota; Fungi; Neocallimastigomycota; Neocallimastigomycetes; Neocallimastigales. The record is from RNAcentral.
AGAGAGAGACAUGCGCGCAUAUCAAUAAGCGGAGGAAAAGAAACUAACAAGGAUUCCCUUAGUAACGGCGAGUGAAGCGGGAAGAGCUCAAAUUUGAAAUCUUCGAGGGUUUACCUUGACGAAUUGUAGUUUAAAGAAGUGUUUUCGGUUAGAGGAGUAGUAAAAGUUCUUUGGAAUAGGACAUCAUAGAGGGUGAGAAUCCCGUAUUUGACUAUUCUUUCUAGCUUUGUGAUACACUUUCAAAGAGUCGGAUUGUUUGGGAAUGCAGUCCAAAAUGGGUGGUAAAUUUCAUCUAAAGCUAAAUAUUGGCGAGAGACCGAUAGCGAACAAGUACCGUGAGGGAAAGAUGAAAAGAACUUUGAAAAGAGAGUUAAACAGUACGUGAAAUUGUCAAAAGGGAAGCGUUUGACACCAGUGUUGUUUUUUCCGAAAAUCAAUUAAGAAUGUUUUAUUUUUGAGGAGUUAUGACUUCAUCGGCUUGCUCCUUUCUUUAUGGAACUUUCUUAAUGCACUUUUCGGUUAACAAGUCAACAUCAAUUUCUUUUGUUGUAAAAGAAUAUGAGGAAGGUGGCUUUCUUUUCGGAGAAAGUGUUUAUAGCCUUGUACUUCUGCAAUCGGAGAGAUUGAGGUCUGCAGCGUAGAUCCCUUCGGGGUUAGAUACACUUUGUGCUAAGUUAUAGCUUUUCAUAGACAACUUGUUGACUAUGUUUAGUCUUGUAGCUUACUCGCUUGACUGCUAUUUUACCUACGCUUAGGAUGUUGACAGCAGUAUAGACUGU